RNAcentral lists this ribosomal RNA (253 nucleotides) under uncultured bacterium. Its description in RNAcentral is "partial 16S ribosomal RNA". It matches the Rfam family "Bacterial small subunit ribosomal RNA", at positions 524 to 776 of the family's 1533-position model. The record is from RNAcentral.
UACGUAGGGGGCAAGCGUUAUCCGGAUUUACUGGGUGUAAAGGGAGCGUAGGCGGCGAUGCAAGUCAGAAGUGAAAGCCCGGGGCUCAACUCCGGGACUGCUUUUGAAACUGUGUUGCUAGAUUGCAGGAGAGGUAAGUGGAAUUCCUAGUGUAGCGGUGAAAUGCGUAGAUAUUAGGAGGAACACCAGUGGCGAAGGUGGCUUACUGGACUGUAAAUGACGCUGAGGCUCGAAAGCGUGGGGAGCAAACAGG